GCUGAUGACUCCCAAGAGCUCUUAUCGACGGAGUCGUUUGGCACCUCGAUGUCGAUUCAUCACAUCCUGGGGUUGAAGAAGGUCCCAAGGGUUCUGGUCUGUAGUCGCGGAGCUCCUCCGCCCCAUCCAUCUUCGGCAACAA
This 142-nucleotide non-coding RNA is filed under the name Triticum aestivum (bread wheat). Its description in RNAcentral is "Bacterial large subunit ribosomal RNA". It matches the Rfam family "Bacterial large subunit ribosomal RNA", at positions 2481 to 2591 of the family's 2925-position model. Lineage: Eukaryota; Viridiplantae; Streptophyta; Magnoliopsida; Poales; Poaceae. The record is from Rfam by way of RNAcentral.